CAGCAGCCGCGGUAAUACGUAGGUGGCAAGCGUUGUCCGGAAUUAUUGGGCGUAAAGCGAGCGCAGGCAGUUAGAUAAGUCUGAAGUUAAGGGCUGUGGCUUAACCAUAGUACGCUUUGGAAACUGUUUAACUUGAGUGCAAGAGGGGAGAGUGGAAUUCCAUGUGUAGCGGUGAAAUGCGUAGAUAUAUGGAGGAACACCGGUGGCGAAAGCGGCUCUCUGGCUUGUAACUGACGCUGAGGCUCGAAAGCGUGGGGAGCAAACAGGAUUAGAUACCCCGGUAGUCCCUGUCUCUUAUACA
This 301-nucleotide ribosomal RNA is filed under the name uncultured bacterium. RNAcentral describes it as "partial 16S ribosomal RNA". It matches the Rfam family "Bacterial small subunit ribosomal RNA", at positions 509 to 808 of the family's 1533-position model. The record is from RNAcentral.